GAAGCAGGCCAGACAGUCGCUGGCCGGCGCAGCAAUGCGUCGGCGGGAGGAAGGUCCGGACUCCAUAGAGCGGGGUGACGGUUAACGGCCGUCCGCUGAAAGCCGCAAGGUAUAAGGCGAGGAAUAGGGCCACAGAGACGAGCGUAUUAAGUUACGGUGAAACGCGGUAACCUCCACCUGGUGCAAUUUCAAAUAGGCACGCGAUGAUGCUGCUCGCGGAGCGUGCGGGUAGAAAGCUUGAGCGCCGGAGUAAUCCGGCGCCUAGAGGAAUGGCUGUCAUAGCGCGAACCCGCAAGGGCCAGCGCCGUAACAAAAUCCGGCCUAUCGGCCUGCUUCACUU
RNAcentral lists this RNase P RNA (340 nucleotides) under Janthinobacterium fluminis. RNAcentral's name for it is "RNase P RNA component class A". It matches the Rfam family "Bacterial RNase P class A". Rfam says of the family: Ribonuclease P (RNase P) is a ubiquitous endoribonuclease, found in archaea, bacteria and eukarya as well as chloroplasts and mitochondria. Its best characterised activity is the generation of mature 5'-ends of tRNAs by cleaving the 5'-leader elements of precursor-tRNAs. Cellular RNase Ps are ribonucleoproteins. The record is from RNAcentral. Lineage: Bacteria; Pseudomonadati; Pseudomonadota; Betaproteobacteria; Burkholderiales; Oxalobacteraceae.